Vicugna pacos (alpaca) is the source of this 90-nucleotide non-coding RNA. Lineage: Eukaryota; Metazoa; Chordata; Mammalia; Artiodactyla; Camelidae. The record is from Rfam.
AGGGUGGGCAGAAUGGAUCCUGGAGGAGGGGCCGCUGCCGGGCCUCCCGGGGAGCCGCGUGUAGCCCUCGGCAGCCUUGUCUCCUGACCU